RNAcentral lists this long non-coding RNA (845 nucleotides) under Gossypium barbadense (sea-island cotton). Its description in RNAcentral is "long non-coding RNA (GBAR_LNC006866)". The record is from RNAcentral. Lineage: Eukaryota; Viridiplantae; Streptophyta; Magnoliopsida; Malvales; Malvaceae.
CUUAAGAAGCCUUCAUUGUCAAAUCUAACUGAUGAUCAGUUCAAAUCAGUGCUCCUUUACCAUGCCUUGCCACGAUACUAUGCCCUUGCGGACUUCAAUGACCUAAGUGAGAAAGGCCUUAUUAGUACACUUGCUGGUGGCCAAUACACUUUGCAAUUCAACGAUGAGUCUGGUACCGUCCGCCUCGAUUCCGGAUGGAGCAAAACAAAAGUCACUAGCGCAGUACAUACGUCCAAGCCAGUCGCAGUCUAUCAAAUCGAUAAGGUCCUUCUUCCGGAGGCCAUUUUCGGGACCGACAUACCUCCGACACCUGCACCUGCCCCGGCUCUUGGUAUUGGCCCAUCAGCUGACACUCCAUCAGCAGCAAAAUCCGAAGAAACUGGUUCCUCAUCAAAGCCUUCGUUUUCGGGUUCAUCAUCUCCUAGGAUCAUGAUGAACUCGGGCAUUUGGACUCAGCUGGUUUUGGCAUUCUUAGGUGGAUGGCUGGUUCUCUUUUUCUGAGACGUUAUAAUUUUAUGUUGAAAGGGGGGCACAUAUGGGGUUCUCAAUUUUCUGUGAUUUUUAGACCCCAUUUUCUUUCAUAUAUAUGUUACUGUGUGUUAUUAUAAAAAGAAUGUUAUUGUGUGUUAAGAAUAUGGUUGUGUUAUAAUUACCAUUUCAAUUUUAAUGGAGUUUUGCCUUAAAUCUCUGUUUUUCACUUGUUCAUACUUGUUUCUAAGUUUGGCCCCAUCUAUAACUAUUUGGCGAGUGAGAGCUUAGGAAAGAAAACUCCUAGCAGGAGGCGAAGCAGAAAAAACUUUUAGAAAAUUAAAUUAUCAAUUUUUUUUUAAGGUUAAAAUGUAACC